RNAcentral lists this long non-coding RNA (2395 nucleotides) under Rattus norvegicus (Norway rat). Its description in RNAcentral is "long non-coding RNA NONRATT008649". Lineage: Eukaryota; Metazoa; Chordata; Mammalia; Rodentia; Muridae. The record is from RNAcentral.
ACAAAAUAAUAUGUUCAUGUGAACAUGUGAUAAAAAGGAAAUAUAGCUUGUUUAGCAGGAAGAGAGAAGGAAACAUGAACUUAUAGCAAUAUGCUAUUUAAUGUCUGUGUUUUGAAUAUUUAAAAUAUCUGAUGGUAAAAUUGCCAAAGUAGUUUGAAUUCAUGUAAGUUGUUUAUACUACAACAAUGUGGGAUAUGUUUACAGGCUCUUUAUAGUGCUUACUUUGUAGUUCUGAUGAAGUUUGUAGUUUGUAUUUAAGUCAUUUAUAGUAAAUGUAUGAUAAAUAUUUGCUGGAAUAAAUAUCUCAGUAAUAUAGCAAAACGUAUCUAAGUAAUCCCACAGUCUGCUUUCAUACAAGGUGCUUUGUCCAGAAAAGCAAGUACUUUGUGACACCAUUGCUUACACCCCACAUUUGCACCAACUGUCCAACUACAUUCCUGGAACCCUGUGUGGUGGGUGCUGCCUCCAAGUAAAACAGCUGUGUUACUAUAAUUAUAUCAGAGUUACUAAUCUAUUAACAGAUAUUUGUGUCUCAGUGUGAUCACAAAUUGAGUGACUUUUAUGAAAUUCUUAGAAAAUUAUAUACAUGCAAAGAAAUUUAUUUAAUCUUAAAACUUUUUGAGGGCUAAUUGCUAAUAGAUAAUGUUAUCAAUUUUAAGAGUAAAAGAAAUCAAUCCCAGAAUUAUAUGUUUUGAGUUCUGCUUUUUACCACAAUUCUUAUUUUGCAUAGAUUUCAUUUACUCUUAGUAGUACUUAUUAUAAUAUAUUUCUCUAUGUUAUCAGAAACAACAACCCAUGUAUUCCGGCCCACAAUUACUUGAUUUUCAUGCCUUAUUGAAUUCUUUUGAGUAGGUACCAUAAUGUUAUUUUCUGUUUCCAUCUAUCAGUGUGACGCUGCUUAUUUUACAGUUUUCUACUGUGGAACACUGUUGAUUUCUAAAGUCAUUAUUUAUUUUUUUUUUAAGUCCUCCGAAGGUAAAUGAGCAGCCAUUAGUUCUAGCUUUUUGGUGGCAGUCCAUCUGUAUUGGCUAGGUAUGGUUCAGUGCAUAAACAAGUACACCAUUUUGCAGAAAGUUAUUAGCAAUAUUUCAAGUUAAAAACUACACUGUUCAGGAAGAGUUCAAACGUUUAACUUCCUGGAGCCUUGUAAAUUUUCCAGUAUAAGAAUGAAAAAGAAAGCCUUGGUAAGUUCAUAAAAGUUUCAAAUAAACACUGUAGAGUUUUCCUAUUAUGUAAAUGAUAUACAGAAAAUAUUUUUCUAUGAACAGAAGGUUAAAACUGUUAACUUUAAUUUCAUUGCUUAAAAGGGAUAAAACAAUAUUUGUAUGUCUUUCAUGCUGUAAAGAAAAUGAAUGUAUCUUUCAAAUGUUAGAGUCAUUACUUGAUUGUAAGUAUAUGUGUUUUUAAAAAUCUGUAAAGGGUUGAAAAGAAGAGUAUUACAAGUCAUUAUGUAAGACGCAAUGUUGGAAGAAAUGGAAUUUCAUUAUAAAUGAGCAGUCACUAUCAAAGCAUAUUUCAGUAUAGUGCAUAUUCAUUUUCACAUUGCUUUGUUUUAUCUCUAGAAAUGUUUCUUAAAAAUUGUGUAUACUGUUUUGGGUAUACACUAAUUGGUUUCUACACUUGUGUGUUAGGCUCAGUGUGCUGCUGCAUGUGUCUACCAUGGGGAAAAGUUACCAAGUUUUGUCAAUGUCGAAGCCACCAAUGGGGGCAUCAUUGUUAGAAUGUGAAACCCAUGCCUAGGAGCCACUGCAGCAACUCUGUGCAGAGGCCUCUGACUGUGCUAAUGUGUUUCCCUUUUUAUCUUCAAUGACAUGGAUAGUAAGACUACUGGGCCCAACUCUCCUGACUUGUGGUGGUUUGUAUGCUUACAACUUUAUUCAGCUAGUGCCCGUAGGUGUGAAUGAUUUGUUCAUUAGCUCUUUAAAUCUAGUAUUUAUCAGUUAUUAAACUUGAUGAAAAUUGGGAAUUCAUUGUUUUGACACUUUUCUAGCCAUCCAUACUAAUUUUAACUCAUCAUGAUGGACCCUGAACAACCAAAAAGUGAUCCCUGGUUAGUGUCAGAUUUCCUCUACCCCAGCAUUUACAAGGUUGACUGAUGACUUAGAAGUUGCAUUGUUAAAUAAAGUCACUGCCAAGGAUCAUGAAGGAGGUAGCUUUCUCUAAACUUUGGCCCAGAGAGGCUGCUUCCUGGUUCCCUAGAUGGACUAAAUAUCUGCUGUGUGUCUUCAUAUCCUCUAUAGUCACAAUUAGGCCUAGUUUACCUCUUAAAAAUUUUUUUGUUUUCCACUUAUAUUUGCCUUCCUGGGGAAGGAAGAUUCAACCCAAUUCUAUGAUUCUCUGGAUUCAUUUUUCCAAGUUUUUCAAUGAGUUAGUGAGAUUCCUCAUUCAUGAAUCC